AUUGAACGCUGGCGGCAGGCCUAACACAUGCAAGUCGAACGCGUGGCGGACGUGUGAGUAAUGUCUGGGAAUCUGCCUGAUGGAGGGGGAUAACUACUGGAAACGGUAUCUAAUACCGCAUACCAUCGGAUGUGCCCAGAUGGGCUUAGCUUGUAGGUGGGGUAAAGGCUCACCUAGGCGACUAUCCCUAGCUGGUCUGAGAGGAUGACCAGCCACACUGGAACGGAGACACGGUACAGACUCCUACGUGAGGAAGCAGUGGGGAAUAUUGCACAAGGGGCGCAAGCCUGAUGCAGCCAUGCCGCGUGUAUGAAGAAGGCCGUCGGGUUGUAAAGUACUUUCAGCGGGGAGGCGUUACCCGCAGAAGAAGCACCGGCUAACUCCGUGCCAGCAGCCGCGGUAAUAC
RNAcentral lists this ribosomal RNA (406 nucleotides) under uncultured bacterium. RNAcentral describes it as "partial 16S ribosomal RNA". It matches the Rfam family "Bacterial small subunit ribosomal RNA", at positions 30 to 526 of the family's 1533-position model. The record is from RNAcentral.